Molecule: ribosomal RNA, 1372 nt
Filed under: uncultured bacterium
Lineage: Bacteria
Description: bacterial SSU rRNA
Rfam family: Bacterial small subunit ribosomal RNA
Source: RNAcentral
GAUGAACGCUGGCGGCGUGCCUAAUACAUGCAAGUCGAGCGAACGGACGAGAAGCUUGCUUCUCUGAUGUUAGCGGCGGACGGGUGAGUAACACGUGGAUAACCUACCUAUAAGACUGGGAUAACUUCGGGAAACCGGAGCUAAUACCGGAUAAUAUCAUGAACCGCAUGGUUCAAAAGUGAAAGACGGUCUUGCUGUCACUUAUAGAUGGAUCCGCGCUGCAUUAGCUAGUUGGUAAGGUAACGGCUUACCAAGGCAACGAUGCAUAGCCGACCUGAGAGGGUGAUCGGCCACACUGGAACUGAGACACGGUCCAGACUCCUACGGGAGGCAGCAGUAGGGAAUCUUCCGCAAUGGGCGAAAGCCUGACGGAGCAACGCCGCGUGAGUGAUGAAGGUCUUCGGAUCGUAAAACUCUGUUAUUAGGGAAGAACAUAUGUGUAAGUAACUGUGCACAUCUUGACGGUACCUAAUCAGAAAGCCACGGCUAACUACGUGCCAGCAGCCGCGGUAAUACGUAGGUGGCAAGCGUUAUCCGGAAUUAUUGGGCGUAAAGCGCGCGUAGGCGGUUUUUUAAGUCUGAUGUGAAAGCCCACGGCUCAACCGUGGAGGGUCAUUGGAAACUGGAAAACUUGAGUGCAGAAGAGGAAAGUGGAAUUCCAUGUGUAGCGGUGAAAUGCGCAGAGAUAUGGAGGAACACCAGUGGCGAAGGCGACUUUCUGGUCUGUAACUGACGCUGAUGUGCGAAAGCGUGGGGAUCAAACAGGAUUAGAUACCCUGGUAGUCCACGCCGUAAACGAUGAGUGCUAAGUGUUAGGGGGUUUCCGCCCCUUAGUGCUGCAGCUAACGCAUUAAGCACUCCGCCUGGGGAGUACGACCGCAAGGUUGAAACUCAAAGGAAUUGACGGGGACCCGCACAAGCGGUGGAGCAUGUGGUUUAAUUCGAAGCAACGCGAAGAACCUUACCAAAUCUUGACAUCCUUUGACAACUCUAGAGAUAGAGCUUUCCCCUUCGGGGGACAAAGUGACAGGUGGUGCAUGGUUGUCGUCAGCUCGUGUCGUGAGAUGUUGGGUUAAGUCCCGCAACGAGCGCAACCCUUAAGCUUAGUUGCCAUCAUUAAGUUGGGCACUCUAAGUUGACUGCCGGUGACAAACCGGAGGAAGGUGGGGAUGACGUCAAAUCAUCAUGCCCCUUAUGAUUUGGGCUACACACGUGCUACAAUGGACAAUACAAAGGGCAGCGAAACCGCGAGGUCAAGCAAAUCCCAUAAAGUUGUUCUCAGUUCGGAUUGUAGUCUGCAACUCGACUACAUGAAGCUGGAAUCGCUAGUAAUCGUAGAUCAGCAUGCUACGGUGAAUACGUUCCCGGGUCU